CUGCUGACGAGCGGCGGACGGGUGAGUAAUGUCUGGGGAUCUGCCUGAUGGAGGGGGAUAACUACUGGAAACGGUAGCUAAUACCGCAUAACGUCGCAAGACCAAAGAGGGGGACCUUCGGGCCUCUUGCCAUCGGAUGAACCCAGAUGGGAUUAGCUAGUAGGUGGGGUAAUGGCUCACCUAGGCGACGAUCCCUAGCUGGUCUGAGAGGAUGACCAGCCACACUGGAACUGAGACACGGUCCAGACUCCUACGGGAGGCAGCAGUGGGGAAUAUUGCACAAUGGGCGCAAGCCUGAUGCAGCCAUGCCGCGUGUGUGAAGAAGGCCUUCGGGUUGUAAAGCACUUUCAGCGAGGAGGAAGGCAUUGAGGUUAAUAACCUUGGUGAUUGACGUUACUCGCAGAAGAAGCACCGGCUAACUCCGUGCCAGCAGCCGCGGUAAUACGGAGGGUGCAAGCGUUAAUC
This 465-nucleotide ribosomal RNA is filed under the name Cedecea davisae. Its description in RNAcentral is "bacterial SSU rRNA". It matches the Rfam family "Bacterial small subunit ribosomal RNA", at positions 85 to 546 of the family's 1533-position model. Lineage: Bacteria; Pseudomonadati; Pseudomonadota; Gammaproteobacteria; Enterobacterales; Enterobacteriaceae. The record is from RNAcentral.